CAGCCAGCGGCGCCCUGCCCUCCUCGCGAGCCACAGGUACCCACCUGUAGUUCCCCAGAACGAGAGCCCCACUCGGGACACCGACCCCGGUGGUUCGGAAGCAGGACGGGGUUCUCCUCAUCCCCAAAAUUCCCAGAGCAAUUCCGUUGCAGCACCAGAGCAGCUGGGAAGCUAUCAACCCCCCCAAGGCACUCACAGGGCAUUAAGAGCCCUCGGGGCUCCACGAGGACGAGCGUUAUCAGAAUCCAAGGAGAGCACAGCACCACCAGUAUACGUAUACUUUAUUUCCUCAUCUCCCGGUAACAAAUAAAAAACAAACACACCCCCAGUCAUUCUCCCCCCCCAGCCCGCACCGCCUGUCCCCAUCCCCGAGCCCCGCUCCCCCCAGCUCAAACAUCAUAGUUGGGGUUCUUGCGCAGGAUGACGAACCCCUCCAAGAUGGGGGUCACGGGCACAUGCUCUUCGGUGGCCAGCUCUGCCCGCUCACCGUGUGCCAGCAGCACGGGGGUGGUAUGGGUCUGGAAGCCAGUGAUGGUUUUGGGCUUGCCUGCUUGGCCCACCACGUCCACAGCCUGUCCGACCCGAACCGACACGGGCAGAGGGCGCAGCUCCUCAUCGAAGGUGACCAACAUGCGGGGCUGCAUGGCUGCAACCAGCCCGUAGAGCACAUAGUGGGACUUGCCCAGGAUAAUGUUGCGCACAUCCAGGAAGGACACAAGGACGGUCAGCAGUCCAGCUACAGCCACCUGGCUCAUGAGCUGGCGAUCGCUGUGGUAGGGGCACAGGGUGAGCGUCCCCUUGCCCAAGUGGGUCAGGCCCUGGGCUAACCGCACCAUGAAGAGGUUGUUGGGGUCCUUGGCGUGGUACUGGGCGAGCUGCCGCAGCAUAGCCGCCAGCCGGGCGUUGUUGGUACCGCUGCCCACCAUGCCCAUGGCAAAGAUGGAGUUGUAGGAGACUUCGGGGUCAGCAUCGUGGGAGAACUUGCUGAGGGUGUCGAGGAUGUUGAGUCGGGGGUUAGAGACAGAGAUGAGCGCCAGGGCCAGGGGCACAGCACGGCGCAGGGUGGGCUCCCCAUACCGCAGCAGGUGACCAAACGUGCGCAGGGCCAUCUCGGCACCGAUCUCCUCACCCAUGGCAAUAAGUGCGAUGCCCAACACUGCUACACCCUGGUGUGCCCCCAUGUCAGCUGAGCUUUCUUUCUUCUCUUUCUCCUUCUUGUCCUUCUUGUCCUUAUCUUCCUCUUUCUCCUUGGAGUCAAAGUGCUCGCUGCAGAUGUGCAGAAGCUGCUGAACCUUCAGUACGUUCCCUGAACCAGCGUAGGCACAGAUGUCCACCAAUGUGUUGGCAAAGCUGCGGAACGGCUCCGACACCACCUCCAGCGCUGCCAGGAUGGCCUCGAUGGCCUCUCC
Molecule: long non-coding RNA, 1409 nt
Filed under: Gallus gallus (chicken)
Lineage: Eukaryota; Metazoa; Chordata; Aves; Galliformes; Phasianidae
Source: RNAcentral